GCAAGGAGAAUCGAGAGCAGUCCACAUCACAUGGAGCGGAGAGCAGGACACAGGACACGCUGGCAUUCUUGCAUCGGGCCCACAUUAACUCUGCCUUCCAUCCUGAAGGAACCUAGAUCAUCUGGGCAAUUCAGCAGAAAAUCACCGUAGUGGACCAUAGCAAUGACGUCCUGUUAAUGAGACCACAUGGACAAGAAGGGCUUUUUGCCUCCGAAAGGAUCAGAUUGGGCCUACAAUGAAAGCCAGAAAGGCGGAUAAAUUAACAAAGGGCCAGAAACACAAGUGGCUCCUAUCGAGAUGCUGUUUCCAGAUCCGACCAUGUCGUGUGAGCCGAGGCAGCCCGAGCAAGAACCCUGGCUGAAUUUUCACAGGUGACUCCCAAAAUGCUGCUGGUGACCAUCUUGCUUUCAGGGGAGCAAGGAAGCAAAAGGGACAUGGAUUUUUCUACAAGGGGCUCCGCAAUGACAAAAA
Long non-coding RNA from Mustela lutreola (European mink), 471 nucleotides. RefSeq lists it as uncharacterized. The record is from RefSeq and is a predicted model, not a curated record. NCBI's taxonomy places the organism in Eukaryota, Metazoa, Chordata, Mammalia, Carnivora, Mustelidae. The transcript has 3 exons.